This is a small nuclear RNA of Mesocricetus auratus (golden hamster), 167 nucleotides long. Its record names the gene U1. It matches the Rfam family "U1 spliceosomal RNA". From Rfam's summary of the family: U1 is a small nuclear RNA (snRNA) component of the spliceosome (involved in pre-mRNA splicing). Its 5' end forms complementary base pairs with the 5' splice junction, thus defining the 5' donor site of an intron. There are significant differences in sequence and secondary structure between metazoan and yeast U1 snRNAs, the latter being much longer (568 nucleotides as compared to 164 nucleotides in human). The record is from Ensembl. NCBI's taxonomy places the organism in Eukaryota, Metazoa, Chordata, Mammalia, Rodentia, Cricetidae.
AUACUUAGCUAGUAGGGUCAAUCAAUACUAUGGUCAUGAAGGUGGUUUUCUCAGGAUGAGUCUUCUCUAUUGUAUUUUAGAUAUCCUGACUCCUGCAAUUUCCCCAAAUGUGGGAAACUUGACUGUAACAUUUGUGGUAGUGAAGAGAACUAGUUCCAGGUUCUCCU